AUUUCAGACAAACCCCCGUGGGGUUGAAGC
Molecule: non-coding RNA, 30 nt
Filed under: Natronomonas moolapensis 8.8.11
Lineage: Archaea; Methanobacteriati; Methanobacteriota; Halobacteria; Halobacteriales; Natronomonadaceae
Source: RNAcentral